This 505-nucleotide ribosomal RNA is filed under the name uncultured bacterium. Its description in RNAcentral is "partial 16S ribosomal RNA". It matches the Rfam family "Bacterial small subunit ribosomal RNA", at positions 28 to 507 of the family's 1533-position model. The record is from RNAcentral.
GACGAACGCUGGCGGCGUGCCUAAUACAUGCAAGUAGAACGCACAGUUUAUACCGUAGCUUGCUCCACCAUAGACUGUGAGUUGCGAACGGGUGAGUAACUCGUAGGUAACCUGCCUGGUAGCGGGGGAUAACUAUUGGAAACGAUAGCUAAUACCGCAUAAUAUUAAUUAUUGCAUGCUAAUUAAUUGAAAGUUGCAAUUGCACCACUACCAGAUGGACCUUCGUUGUAUUAGCUAGCAGGUGAGGUAACGGCUCAACUAGGCGGUGAUACAUAGCCGAACGGAGAAGGUGAUGGGCUGACCUGGGAGUGUAACACGGCCCAGAACUCUGCGGGAGGCAGCAGUAGGGAAUAUUCGGCAAGAGAUGAAAGUAUGAGCGAGAAAGGCAGCGUGAGUGAAGAAGGUGUUCGGAUCGUAAAGCUCUGUUGUAAGAGUAGAACGGGUGUGAGAGUGGAAAGUUCACACUGUGACGGUAUCUUACCAGAAAGGGACGGCUAACUACGUG